RNAcentral lists this small nuclear RNA (108 nucleotides) under Notamacropus eugenii (tammar wallaby). Lineage: Eukaryota; Metazoa; Chordata; Mammalia; Diprotodontia; Macropodidae. The record is from RNAcentral.
GUGCUUACUUAAGAAACACAUAUGCUGAAAUAGAAAUGUUACAGAGAAGAUAAGCAUGCCAACUCAUAUAAGAAUGACAAGCACAUUCAUUAAAAUUUCAAAUUUCAG